RNAcentral lists this ribosomal RNA (872 nucleotides) under Lactiplantibacillus plantarum. RNAcentral describes it as "bacterial SSU rRNA". It matches the Rfam family "Bacterial small subunit ribosomal RNA", at positions 52 to 899 of the family's 1533-position model. Lineage: Bacteria; Bacillati; Bacillota; Bacilli; Lactobacillales; Lactobacillaceae. The record is from RNAcentral.
UAUAAUGCAGUCGACGACUCUGGUAUUGAUUGGUGCUUGCAUCAUGAUUUACAUUUGAGUGAGUGGCGAACUGGUGAGUAACACGUGGGAAACCUGCCCAGAAGCGGGGGAUAACACCUGGAAACAGAUGCUAAUACCGCAUAACAACUUGGACCGCAUGGUCCGAGUUUGAAAGAUGGCUUCGGCUAUCACUUUUGGAUGGUCCCGCGGCGUAUUAGCUAGAUGGUGGGGUAACGGCUCACCAUGGCAAUGAUACGUAGCCGACCUGAGAGGGUAAUCGGCCACAUUGGGACUGAGACACGGCCCAAACUCCUACGGGAGGCAGCAGUAGGGAAUCUUCCACAAUGGACGAAAGUCUGAUGGAGCAACGCCGCGUGAGUGAAGAAGGGUUUCGGCUCGUAAAACUCUGUUGUUAAAGAAGAACAUAUCUGAGAGUAACUGUUCAGGUAUUGACGGUAUUUAACCAGAAAGCCACGGCUAACUACGUGCCAGCAGCCGCGGUAAUACGUAGGUGGCAAGCGUUGUCCGGAUUUAUUGGGCGUAAAGCGAGCGCAGGCGGUUUUUUAAGUCUGAUGUGAAAGCCUUCGGCUCAACCGAAGAAGUGCAUCGGAAACUGGGAAACUUGAGUGCAGAAGAGGACAGUGGAACUCCAUGUGUAGCGGUGAAAUGCGUAGAUAUAUGGAAGAACACCAGUGGCGAAAGCGGCUGUCUGGUCUGUAACUGACGCUGAGGCUCGAAAGUAUGGGUAGCAACAGGAUUAGAUACCCUGGUAGUCCAUACCGUAACGAUGAUGCUAAGUGUUGGAGGGUUUCCGCCCUUCAGUGCUGCAGCUAACGCAUUAGCAUUCGCCUGGGGAGUACGCGCAGCUGAAA